Molecule: ribosomal RNA, 511 nt
Filed under: Dicranomyia kauaiensis
Lineage: Eukaryota; Metazoa; Arthropoda; Insecta; Diptera; Limoniidae
Description: partial 16S ribosomal RNA
Rfam family: Bacterial large subunit ribosomal RNA
Source: RNAcentral
GUCUUUUUGAAAUAAAUUUAAAGUCUGACCUGCCCACUGAUAUUAUUAAAGGGCCGCGGUAUUUUGACCGUGCAAAGGUAGCAUAAUCAUUAGUUUUUUAAUUGAAAGCUUGUAUGAAUGGUUGGACGAAAUAUUUACUGUCUCAUAAAAAUUUAUAUUAGAAAUUAAUUUUUUUGUUAAAAAGCAAAAAUAAAUUUAAAGGACGAGAAGACCCUAUAGAGCUUUAUAAUUUUAUUAUUUAAUUUUUUAAGGAAAUUUUAAAUUUUAUAAAAAUAAUUAUUUUGUUGGGGUGACAAUAAAAUUUAUAAAACUUUUAUUAUAAGUGAAACAUUGAUUAAUGAAUAUUUGAUCCAUUAUUAAUGAUUAAAAAAUUAAGUUACCUUAGGGAUAACAGCGUAAUUUUUUUUAAGAGUUCUUAUCGACAAAAAAGAUUGCGACCUCGAUGUUGGAUUAAGAAUUAUUUUUAGGUGUAGAAGUUUAAAGUUUAGGUCUGUUCGACCUUUGAAUUCUU